RNAcentral lists this ribosomal RNA (497 nucleotides) under uncultured bacterium. Its description in RNAcentral is "partial 16S ribosomal RNA". It matches the Rfam family "Bacterial small subunit ribosomal RNA", at positions 28 to 507 of the family's 1533-position model. The record is from RNAcentral.
GAUGAACGCUGGCGGCGUGCCUAAUACAUGCAAGUCGAGCGAACAGACGAGGAGCUUGCUCCUCUGACGUUAGCGGCGGACGGGUGAGUAACACGUGGAUAACCUACCUAUAAGACUGGGAUAACUUCGGGAAACCGGAGCUAAUACCGGAUAAUAUAUUGAACCGCAUGGUUCAAUAGUGAAAGACGGUUUUGCUGUCACUUAUAGAUGGAUCCGCGCCGCAUUAGCUAGUUGGUAAGGUAACGGCUUACCAAGGCAACGAUGCGUAGCCGACCUGAGAGGGUGAUCGGCCACACUGGAACUGAGACACGGUCCAGACUCCUACGGGAGGCAGCAGUAGGUAAUCUUCCGCAAUGGGCGAAAGCCUGACGGAGCAACGCCGCGUGAGUGAUGAAGGUCUUCGGAUCGUAAAACUCUGUUAUUAGGGAAGAACAAAUGUGUAAGUAACUAUGCACGUCUUGACGGUACCUAAUCAGAAGGCCACGGCUAACUACGUG